RNAcentral lists this ribosomal RNA (442 nucleotides) under uncultured bacterium. RNAcentral's name for it is "partial 16S ribosomal RNA". It matches the Rfam family "Bacterial small subunit ribosomal RNA", at positions 338 to 795 of the family's 1533-position model. The record is from RNAcentral.
CCUACGGGCGGCAGCAGUGGGGAAUAUUGGGCAAUGGGCGCAAGCCUGACCCAGCAACGCCGCGUGAAGGAAGAAGGCUUUCGGGUUGUAAACUUCUUUUAUCAGGGACGAAGCAAGUGACGGUACCUGAUGAAUAAGCCACGGCUAACUACGUGCCAGCAGCCGCGGUAAUACGUAGGUGGCAAGAGUUAUCCGGAUUUAUGGGGUUAAAGGGUUUCACGGGCGGUCUGUUAAGUCAGCGGUCAAAGCCCGGGGCUCACCCCCGGCCCGCCGUUGAAACUGGCAGUCUCGAGUUGGAGAGAAGUAUGCGGAAUGCGCGGUGUAGCGGUGAAAUGCAUAGAUAUCGCGCAGAACUCCGAUUGCGAAGGCAGCAUGCCGGCUCCACACUGACGCUGAGGCACGAAAGCGUGGGUAUCGAACAGGAUUAGAUACCCGAGUAGUC